Molecule: ribosomal RNA, 443 nt
Filed under: uncultured bacterium
Lineage: Bacteria
Description: partial 16S ribosomal RNA
Rfam family: Bacterial small subunit ribosomal RNA
Source: RNAcentral
CCUACGGGUGGCAGCAGUGGGGAAUAUUGGGCAAUGGGCGCAAGCCUGACCCAGCAACGCCGCGUGAAGGAAGAAGGCUUUCGGGUUGUAAACUUCUUUUCUCAGGGACGAAGCAAGUGACGGUACCUGAGGAAUAAGCCACGGCUAACUACGCGCCAGCAGCCGCGGUAAUACGGAGGUGGCAAUCGUUAUCCGGAUUUACUGGGUGUAAAGGGCGUGUAGGCGGGAAAGCAAGUCAGAUGUGAAAACCAUGGGCUCAACCUGUGGCCUGCAUUUGAAACUGUUUUUCUUGAGGACUGGGGAGGCAGGCGGAAUUCGUGGUGUAGCGGUGAAAUGCGUAGAUAUUAGGAGGAACCCCAGUGGCGAAGGCGGUCUGCUGGACAGCAACUGACGCUGAGGCGCGAAAGCGUGGGGAGCAAACAGGAUUAGAUACCCUGGUAGUC